UAACUGUAAACGAUGCGGACUUGGUGUUGGGGUGGCUUUGAGCUGCUUCAGUGCCGAAGGGAAGCUGUUAAGUCCGCCGCCUGGGAAGUACGGUCGCAAGACUGAAACUUAAAGGAAUUGGCGGGGGAGGCACCACAACACGUGGAGCCUGCGGUUUAAUUUGGAUUCAACGCCGGACAUCUCACCAGAGGCGACAGCUGUAUGAUAGCCAGGUUGAUGACUUUGCUUGACUAGCUGAGAGGAGGUGCAUGGCGUCAGUGACU
RNAcentral lists this ribosomal RNA (263 nucleotides) under uncultured archaeon. RNAcentral describes it as "partial 16S ribosomal RNA". It matches the Rfam family "Archaeal small subunit ribosomal RNA", at positions 748 to 1008 of the family's 1478-position model. The record is from RNAcentral.